GCGGGAGCCUCGCGUGCCGCCGCCGUGGAGGCCGGCAAGGCCGGGCCGGCUCCCCCGGGAGAGUCGACUCCCGGUGGGCGUCGGCCUGGAGACGUCCGCGGAGCGCGGCCCGAGAACCAGGCGCGGGACGCGGAGCUGUAGCGCCGCCUCUCCCUGCGCGCCUUUGUUGCUCUGCAUUUAUUUUUCCAACGACAAGCCAGCGCCGAAGGAUCUGGCCCGAGAACUACCAAGCCGUGCUACCUUUUCCUCUUCAGAAGCAAGAACAGAGACGAUUUAUUUAGCAAGAGUUUGUGCUAGUGUGUUUUCUUGUUUGAUUAUAGGCUGGGGUUUAUUGUUAGACAAUCGAGCAAUUUGGGAGGAAAGAAAAACCCCAGGUCCACGCGUGAGCUGGAGUGAGUGCUUCGCCCUGGCCAGCAGCCUCUGCAUUUUGAAAGUAGAGGCGGAACUAAAAUACCCGCGUGGUUUGCGGGUGAACUGCUCCCCUGAACGCUAGAUACCCCUGCGUAUUUAAGGUCGUGAAGAAGAGAAGUGAGACGGUAUUGUUCAAAAGAGCAGCCCACCGGGACAGGUAGCACACUGUAACUCCAGCUGCUCAGAAGGCUGGGGCAGGGGGAUCGCACGGGCAGUGUGAGCAAUCUAGUGAGUUAGACACCUCAAAAUAAAAAGGACCAGGCGCUGACGGGGUGGUGCACUCUUGUAAUCCCAGCCCUCUGGGAGGCUGAGAACAAGUUCGAGCCCAGCCUCCUCCAAUUAGCAGUUAAGCAAAAUCCCGUCUCAAAAUAAUUAAAAAGGGUUGUGGACAUAACUCGGUACAAAGCCAGUGCAAUCCUAGUAACAGGCGCACACGCGCGCGCGCGCGCACACACACACACACACACACACACACACACACACACACACACGCAGGUGCACGCAUGCGCUAAAGCAUGUCCCGAGUAGGUCUUCCGAGAGCUUUCCUGAAGUUAAUGCCCUAAAGCAAUAUUCUUGUUCUUACUAUAUGUAGAGAAAUACAUGCAUGAGUCCUAGUAAAUUGUCCAGCUUUUGGUUAAGAUAAAAACAGUCCUCCUUCAAGCAGAAGAACGCCAGAGACUAGGUAUUUCUUAAAAAGUUUUCUUGGUAAGAUUUUAAUUCGGGGAGAAAGGAGUUUUACACAGUGUAUGUAGGUACACAAAGAAAAAGGAGACACCGGAAAGAAAAAUACCUGUAGUGGGUCUCUUCAAGUAGAAGGGUUAUGAGUAAUUGGAUGACUUUUUUUGGUUUUUGUUUUUUUCCGGUACCAGGAAUCGAACACACGACCUUGCCCUUGCCAGGCAGGUGCUGUGCCGCUGAGCUAAAUCCCGAGAGCCCCUGGGUGACUUUCAUUGUCAUUGUGCUUAUCUGUAAUUUUUAUGUUCUGCUCUGUAGUUUUGUGGAUUCCUUCCUUCCUGGGAAAGGAAAAGAGAAAAAGAACCCCUGAUGCCUAAAAACAGGAAGACUUUAACUCCCCGUACAGUUUAAAUCAUUACCACCCAAGCACGUGUCUGGGAUCUCCUGAAGUCAUUCAUCAAACAUGCCAGCCAGUCAUUCAGUAAAUAUUUCUUGAAUGGAUAAGUGGUAGGAAUUUAAACGAGGGAAGAUCCUUCUGUCUAAAGUUGCUUGGCAGGGCUUCAAGGAAGAGGCUGAAUCAGAGGGGUACGGGGCGGGCAGGACCGGGCCUGCAAUCAGGGAGGGGCAGGCCCAGCUCCCUGAGGGGGAAAGCCUGGAAAAGUAGGCUCCUUCAGUGGCGUAAAAGAUACAAAAGACUCUGAAAAGAUGGGAGGAAAGCAGAUUGUAGAGGGCCUCGUGAUUGCUUGAUUGACACUAGUAAUUAUUUAAUUCAUUAUUUGCAGUUACUUAGUGCCAAGUGUGUUCCCCUGGAGGGCAGGGACCCGUCCGGCCGGUUUUCCCAGCUCCCCGAGACCUAGAGGGUGCUCGGCGUGCAGUUGACUGUCAGGACAUAUUUUGCAACUGUACGGCCACAUUAGCAGCAGCCUAGGAGGUCUAGGUUUUGUUGAGCACGUAGAAGGUUAUCCGCGCAGGCCCUGGGACAGUCAGACUUUUCCUGUGUGAAGCCUGGGGUGGGUGAGGAGAGGUUCCACUGUGGAUGGAGUCUGCAGCUUAAGCAGUGGAGAACAGAAAUCAUGGAAACGUCUGAGGAGAUGGGUAGCAAAGAGAAAUUCCAGCCAGAAGAGGGGAGAGAGUAAAGCGGGGAGGGAAGCUACUGAAGUGAAAAACCCAGGAAGAGUCACCAGGCUUUCACCACUGUGAGAGUCUCCGGCUGAGGGCUGACAAUGGCAAGAAAAAAGGAACAUUUUCUGCCGGGCGUGGUGGCGCACGCCUGUAAUCCCCGCACUUGGGAGGCUGAGGCAGGAGGAUUGUGCGAGUUUGAGGCCAGCCUGGGCUACAAAGUGAGCUCAAGGCCAGCCUGAACUGCACAGUGAGACCCUGUCUCAAAAAGACAAAAGAAAAGGAGGGGGCUGGGGAUUUAGCUCAGCGGCACAGCCCCUGCCUGGCAAGCGCAAGGUCGUGAGUUCAAUUCCCGGUA
This 2563-nucleotide long non-coding RNA is filed under the name Chinchilla lanigera (long-tailed chinchilla). Its description in RNAcentral is "lncRNA (ENSCLAG00000026701.1)". The record is from RNAcentral. Lineage: Eukaryota; Metazoa; Chordata; Mammalia; Rodentia; Chinchillidae.